CCUACGGGAGGCAGCAGUGGGGAAUCUUGCGCAAUGGGCGAAAGCCUGACGCAGCCAUGCCGCGUGAAUGAUGAAGGUCUUAGGAUUGUAAAAUUCUUUCACCGGGGACGAUAAUGACGGUACCCGGAGAAGAAGCCCCGGCUAACUUCGUGCCAGCAGCCGCGGUAAUACGAAGGGGGCUAGCGUUGCUCGGAAUUACUGGGCGUAAAGGGAGCGUAGGCGGAUAGUUUAGUCAGAGGUGAAAGCCCAGGGCUCAACCUUGGAAUUGCCUUUGAUACUGGCUAUCUUGAGUGUGGGAGAGGUAUGUGGAACUCCGAGUGUAGAGGUGAAAUUCGUAGAUAUUCGGAAGAACACCAGUGGCGAAGGCGACAUACUGGCCCAUUACUGACGCUGAGGCUCGAAAGCGUGGGGAGCAAACAGGAUUAGAUACCCUGGUAGUCCACGCUGUAAACGAUGAGUGCUAGUUGUCGGCAGCAUGCUGUCGGUGACGCAGCUACGCAUAAGACACCUCCGCCGUCGGGGAGGUACGGUCGCGAAGAAUUAAAACUUAAAGUUAGUAAGUUAGUACGGCGUGAGACGUGCCGACGGACGACGACGAGGGAGGUUAGG
RNAcentral lists this ribosomal RNA (609 nucleotides) under uncultured bacterium. RNAcentral describes it as "bacterial SSU rRNA". The stretch from base 1 to 515 matches the Rfam family "Bacterial small subunit ribosomal RNA", at positions 338 to 873 of the family's 1533-position model. The record is from RNAcentral.